GAAAUCCGCCGAGAUCACCUCGUCGAACCGGGUUUCAUUCUCCACAACGAGGGCGCGCAGCCGGGCAAGCCGGUCGCGGCGCUCCGCAAGGGAAGGUUCUGCCGUGCGCGACAGCGCCACGGCACGGCGGAAAACAUCCUCGANNNNNCUGCGGCGGGAUUCCUGACGGCCUGAUUCAUUCGGUGUCCCUUGGAUCCUCGUGGUCGGCUUUAGCGCCGGGCCUUGUUUUGGAUUGACCGAAGGCUGAUCUGUCGCGGCCUUGUUGGCANNNNNNNGCGCAGAAACGCCAUAGCAUCAAUCCCUUGGACGGCCGUCAUAAAAUCGUGAAAAAGAUCGCCCGCAGGCCUUUCCAAAGCGGGGUGUCGUUGGUACAUACCCCUGGCACCACGGGCGCUUUGCCCUGGUAGCCUUCUCUCGCCUCCGGACGGGUUGGAACGACGCCUUUGGCGUUGAAC
RNAcentral lists this unclassified non-coding RNA (455 nucleotides) under Hevea brasiliensis (rubber tree). Lineage: Eukaryota; Viridiplantae; Streptophyta; Magnoliopsida; Malpighiales; Euphorbiaceae. The record is from RNAcentral.